UACUCAGCAUAUUUGAUAGUAUGCAGUUUAAUAUAAUUAACGUAAGUUAGUUAAAGAAAGAGUAG
Lactobacillus kefiranofaciens subsp. kefirgranum is the source of this 65-nucleotide non-coding RNA. Lineage: Bacteria; Bacillati; Bacillota; Bacilli; Lactobacillales; Lactobacillaceae. The record is from Rfam.